This 358-nucleotide unclassified non-coding RNA is filed under the name Hevea brasiliensis (rubber tree). The record is from RNAcentral. Lineage: Eukaryota; Viridiplantae; Streptophyta; Magnoliopsida; Malpighiales; Euphorbiaceae.
GAGAGAGAGAGAAUGGAGAAAUGUAUUUUAGUCGUUAUAAAAUUUCUCUCUCCUCGGAUCAUAGAAAAAUUACUUGAUGAACGAUUUCUUGGGUGGAGGAACUUUCAAUUUUGAUGAAACAGAAGUCAAAAACUAAAUAAAUAAAACAAAACUGAGGGACAAGUUUAUACUUUUGCCAUUUCAAUUUCUCCUUGAAAGAAGGUUCAUAUAUCCUUAGAGAAAGUAUGUUAGUGCUCUGUUAACACCCAAUAAUCCCUCUCCCUAUAUCCUGUACUAUUUAUUGGUUAAUUAAAACUAAUUUUCCAGAACUAACUAUACUUAUUUUGAUUUUUGUUAAAUGAAUAGAAAUUUAAGAAAC